UGACAUGCAUGCUCAGAAUACAGGGUGCCA
This 30-nucleotide non-coding RNA is filed under the name Rattus norvegicus (Norway rat). The record is from RNAcentral. Lineage: Eukaryota; Metazoa; Chordata; Mammalia; Rodentia; Muridae.